Long non-coding RNA from Micropterus salmoides (largemouth bass), 562 nucleotides. RefSeq lists it as uncharacterized. The transcript is spliced from 4 exons. Lineage: Eukaryota; Metazoa; Chordata; Actinopteri; Centrarchiformes; Centrarchidae. The record is from RefSeq and is a predicted model, not a curated record.
UGUGUUUUUUUAGGAUCCUAACAGUUAGCUGUGUGUUUCAGGUCUGUUCCCAGCCAUCUUGAACUUGGCGAGUAACGCAGUGAUUACCAGCAAUGCGACAUGUGGUGAUCCAGAACCUGAGGUUUACUGUAAACUGGUGGAACAUGUUCCAGGACGACGAAUCAAGAACCCGCACUGCCCUAAAUGUGAUGCCAACUCCGUCCUAUCCAAAGAACGCCAUCCGAUAACAAACGCCAUCGAUGGGACGAAUCAGUGGUGGCAAAGUCCAAGUAUCAAGAACGGCCGACAGUUUCACUGGAUUACCAUCACCCUGGACCUCAAACAGGUGUUUCAGGUCGCCUACAUCAUCAUCAAGGCCGCAAACUCUCCUCGCCCAGGUAACUGGAUCCUGGAGCGCUCUCUGGACGGUGUGACCUUUGACCCCUGGCAGUAUUACGCCAUCACUGAUUCUGAGUGUUUGUCUCAUUAUAACGUGACGCCAAGACUCGGACCACCAACCUACAAGACGGACACCGAGGUCAUCUGCACGUCCUACUACUCCAGACUGAACCCGCUGGAGCAU